This is a long non-coding RNA of Malus domestica (apple), 755 nucleotides long. RefSeq lists it as uncharacterized. The record is from RefSeq and is a predicted model, not a curated record. NCBI's taxonomy places the organism in Eukaryota, Viridiplantae, Streptophyta, Magnoliopsida, Rosales, Rosaceae.
UUAUUUCUUCUUUUCAAUCUCCUCAAUCGCAUUUUCCUUCUCUCUCCCUCUUCUUUCUUUGUUUCUUCCUCUUCUUUCUUCUCUUUUUUCUCAGUUCCGUCCCGUCCACCACGACAACUCAUGUCUCUCACUCUCCUCAAUCCUCUUGCGUCUUCUGAUCCCUCUCUCCGCUAAGAAUGUUCCCGGCCCGCCGAGAGUCCAUACUCGCCAGCAGCCCUCUACCUCCAUCCUCCAAGGCCUCUAAUUGGAGAUGGCGUUGAAAGAGAGUUUAAAUAUGUUCAAGAAGCAGCAAGAAAGUGCGCAGUCACUUCUUAUCGGCAUUGCAUCUGAUAGGGCCACAGCAACGCUGAGACCUGCGCCUGCGGUCACUAAAGCUCCUGCUCCAGCUGUCAAAUUUUCAAAUGAUACUGAGAGGCUUCAACAUAUUAAUACCAUACGGAAAGCCCCUGUUGGAGCUCAGAUGAAGCGUGUUAUAGACCUGCUGCGGGAGGUUCGAAUCAAACUUACAUUUCCUCCCAUUAUUUGCUUGAUGUAAAUGAUUAUUAUAUUGCUUUAUUUACAAACCUCCAAAUGAGUCAUAACAAUUCAUAACCGUCUAGUGUGUGUACUUUAAAUCCUGAAAGACAAAUAACUUUGAGGUGUCCUUGUUUGAACUACAACCUUGUCUGAACCCCAAUAUGAUGUUUUGAGUUUCAUGUUGAUUUAUACAAUAAGUUGUAAGGAGCACGAUUUUUGUAGAGAUUCUUGGCAUGUAA